This 95-nucleotide small nucleolar RNA is filed under the name Octodon degus (degu). RNAcentral's name for it is "Small nucleolar RNA SNORA24 (ENSODEG00000024254.1)". It matches the Rfam family "Small nucleolar RNA SNORA24", at positions 36 to 131 of the family's 131-position model. From Rfam's summary of the family: ACA24 is a member of the H/ACA class of snoRNA that guide the sites of modification of uridines to pseudouridines. Lineage: Eukaryota; Metazoa; Chordata; Mammalia; Rodentia; Octodontidae. The record is from Rfam by way of RNAcentral.
AUCCACUUCCUAGCCAUGGAAGAGCAUGUUCAUGUUUAUGGCAGAGCUGUCACCAUUUAAUUGGUAUCAGAUUCUGACUGGCACAAGUAACAUUC